This 115-nucleotide ribosomal RNA is filed under the name Rickettsiales bacterium. Lineage: Bacteria; Pseudomonadati; Pseudomonadota; Alphaproteobacteria; Rickettsiales. The record is from RNAcentral.
CUUGAUGAUCAUAGCGUCAUGGAACCACUUGAUACAUUCCGAACUCGCCAGUGAAACGUGAGUUGCGCCGAUGGUACUUGGUUUUUUAGCCCGGGAGAGUAGGUUAUCAUCAAGC